AACAAGUGAGCAGAGCAUAUAAAACGUGAAUGAAGCUGAAGAGGAAAGGGCCUCAGUAAAAGUUCCAUGAGCUUGAAAUUUUUAUGAGUUGUGCUCCAAUAUCUAUAAAACAGUGCCUGGCACAAAUUAGGCCCUCCAUCACUACGCUGUAGAAUGAAUAAAUGAAUAAUAAACAAACGGACAAACGAACGAACGAAUGAAAGCUCACACAGAGGGCUAGGGCUGCUGGACGCAUGCGUGUCACAGCGGACCGCCCCACUAAAAUCUCAGAAUAGGUGCAGGCGCCGGCUCCUCUUUCGGUGGGUGGAGCUGGGGCGUAUGUUUCUCUCUGCCCGCCUGCUGGUUGGUGAGGCGCUGCCGCCACCGCUUGCAAGGGCUUCUGGGAGCUGAGCUUCGGAGUCUCGGGGAAGGGGUGCCGGUGGCCGCCAUCUUGAGCUGCGAACCUCAUCGCUGUGUUCUUAACGCUAGGGGUGGAGUGGUGACCCCAGCUGUUACCCGCAGCCGGGGACUAGAAAGUCAGGGUAUGAGAUGGUGCCACAUUAAUAGGUAGUGAGAGUGACACAGGUCAGGUUGGGCGAGCUUCGGGUUUGAUCCCCGUGGGAGCUACCAAUUCCUGGGACUGCUGUUUUUAUUUACCCCUUUCCUUGCGAGACGUUCAGGUCCUGACCACGCCAGGGCUUUUCUCGGGUUCCCCUGAGGGAGACAGCGGGGACCGGGGCGUGGCAGCCGGACCUCCCUGACAGACGCGAAAGCGCGGAGUCCAGCCCCUCUGAUCGGCAGUCGGGUCCUGCGAAGAAGCUUCUGGCAGCCCAGAUCAUACUCCCGCCGUUUCUCAGUAGUUCCUCGUACGGUACAUGGUCUUGUCAAACGCUGUCACGCACUCUUGAGACUAAGCGUGUGUGCGCGUGUCGGGCAGCGUAUUAGCGGUUCCACAGUGUCCAGAAUGAGGCAGGUUUGAUCCUGGGGGCCUGCAUGAUUGAACCUCUACCGCCGCCAGCUAUCCUCUUCCACCUGGAGGCAGGUGCCUCGAAGGGCUCAUCAGUCCUGACGCGCGGAUGCCAUGGUUAGUCCAGGGAAAGAUAACUAUAGAAUGAAAAUGAAAAGUUGUAAGAAUAAAGCCCUAAAUCUCCAAGGGAUGCAUAGACAAAAAGAAGAAAUACAGCUUCAAAAACAGAAAAGGGAAGAACAGUUGUUAAAAUGCAGAAAUGUCCAGAGGUGAUUAAUCUAUGCUGGAAAGUCCUACCUAGGAUCCAGAUAUCAGUUCCACUGUACCAUUCCAGAGGUUAUUAACAAAUUCAAAUGGACUUACUGUAAGAUAAAUUCCAACCAAAAUAAGUAGGUGAAGAGAGGCACCAAAGGGCCAGGCAGUUUAUUUGAGCGCAAUUCCCAGGCACUGUCAUUAUAAAGUUGUAUCAUCUGCAUUAAGAGCAGUUGUAAUAUUAUGACUGAUGGUGAUAUCCAAACACAGGCUGCUACAGAUGCAAAUAUUUUUCCUCUUUUGACUGAGAUUCUGCAGAAAGCAGAGUUUCACACAAUAAAAAAAUCAGCUUUGGCUGUAACUUACGUGGUAUACAGAGACACUCCAGAACACAUAAGGUAUUUGGUAGCCUUAGGUUGCAUUGAACUACUUUGUAACCUGUUGACUGCUAUGAAUUCAAAAAUAGUCCCAAGUUGCUUUAAAUGGACUAGAAAAUAUUUUACAUCUUGGAGAACAAAAAUUUAAGCAGAAUGGAAAAAGCAUUAAUCCAUACUGUGCUCUCAUUGAAGAAGUAUGGUCUGGAUAAAAUUAAAUUUCUGCAAAGCCAUGAAAGUCAGGAAAUUUACCAAAAGGCUUUUGAUCUGAUUGAACAUUGCUUUGGUGUAAAAGAAGACCCCAGCAUUGUCCCUCAGGUGAAUGAAACCAAACAACAGUUGAUAUGUCAGCAAUAGGAAGCACCAGUGGAAGUUUCAACUUUAACUUGGCUGGGGGGAAAAUUAAUGGCUAAAAAGUUUAGCAUCUCUUCUUUGUUGCAGGGUAUGUAGGAAUGUUUUGUAUGUUUUUAUGUAGAACAGAAAAGAAACAAGUUGAUGCACUUUUAAAAAGCAAAACAAAAGUUUUCAUUCAGAUGUAACCUUUCAUUGUAGUUUUCUUUAUAUUUUGGUGUGCCUGUAUUUGUCUUUAUUGUAUUAUCUAUUUUUUGUACCUAUUUGUGAAUAAUACAUUAUUAAAUUAUUCAAUAAUUUAAGCUUUAAAAGGAGGACUUCGGUAAAAUGUUACACAAGAGUUCUGGACUUUUUCUAGCAUUCUUAAAAACUGCACAUUAGCAGUACAGCUAUUGAUAAUUGCAUUUUGGCAGUAUGCAUGGCAGAGGCUGACAUGCCCAGUCUCUACUUAAUCUACCUCUAUUUUGAAGCAAAAACAAAACCAAAAA
Manis javanica (Malayan pangolin) is the source of this 2411-nucleotide RNA transcript. It is a transcript of the gene named karyopherin subunit alpha 5, with no coding region annotated. The record is from RefSeq and is a predicted model, not a curated record. Lineage: Eukaryota; Metazoa; Chordata; Mammalia; Pholidota; Manidae.